RNAcentral lists this ribosomal RNA (119 nucleotides) under Xenopus tropicalis (tropical clawed frog). The record is from RNAcentral. Lineage: Eukaryota; Metazoa; Chordata; Amphibia; Anura; Pipidae.
GCCUACGGCCAUACCACCCUGAAAGCGCCCGAUCUCAUCUGAUCUCGGAAGCUAAGCAGGGACGGGCUUGGUUAGUACCUGGAUGGGAGACCGCCUGGGAAUACCAGGUGUUGUAGGCU